This 504-nucleotide ribosomal RNA is filed under the name Colaspoides sp. JGZ01-2021. Its description in RNAcentral is "partial 12S ribosomal RNA". Lineage: Eukaryota; Metazoa; Arthropoda; Insecta; Coleoptera; Chrysomelidae. The record is from RNAcentral.
UGCGGUUAUUCAAUUUAUACUUCUAUUUUUUUUUAAUUUUAAUUAAUUUUAAUAUUAAAUCUUUAUUAUUAAAUAUUAGGUGAAAUUUUAUUUAAUAAUUAUUUUUAUUUUGUUUAUGAAUUUAUUAAAUCUAGUGUCAUAAACUGGGAUUAGAUACCCCAUUAUUCUAGAAAAUAAAUUUUUAUGUUAAAUUAUUAUUAGCUAUGUCCUUGAAAGUUAAAUUAUUUGGCGGUUUUUUAUUCUAACCAGGGGAAUCUGUUUCAUGAUUGAUAGUUCACGAUUAUUAAUACUUUAAAUUUACUUGUAUAUCGUCGUUAAAAUUAUUUUUUGAAAAUAUAAUUUUUUAUAAGAUUUUAUUUUAAUUCAGAUCAAGAUGCAGUUUUUUUAAGUGAAAAUGGGUUACAAUAAAUUUAUUUUAGGAUAAUUUUUAUAAUUAAGUUUUUGAAUAUGGAUUUGGAAGUAAAAUUGGUUUUUGGCUAAUUUGAAUAUGGCCCUAAAAAAUGU